This is a long non-coding RNA of Alosa sapidissima (American shad), 173 nucleotides long. RefSeq lists it as uncharacterized. NCBI's taxonomy places the organism in Eukaryota, Metazoa, Chordata, Actinopteri, Clupeiformes, Clupeidae. The record is from RefSeq and is a predicted model, not a curated record. The transcript is spliced from 3 exons.
CAUUAAUAGUGACAGUAACAUUUAUGCUGGUAAUAGCCAGUGCUGUGAUUUGAUCAGUGGUUUAAUGGUAAACUUAAAUAAGUUUGCUGCAUUUGUAAAUGUAGCCUAUAAUAAUCUACACAGAAUCAGAGUACACAAAAUCAGACUCUGAUUCUGUGUAGAUUAUUAGGCUA